CGGAGCGCUCCGCAUGUGUCUGUCUCUUUUUAUAUUUCCCUAAGACAGCCAACCUCUUCACGCCCCCCUCUCUUCUUUAUUUCCCAUCUCUCCUCCUCUGCGCUCUGUCUUUUUUCUACCUUCCUCGAGGAAUUCUUUAUUUCUUUAUUUUAUCUUGUGUGGUGCGUGCGUUGGAUGAUGUGCCCCCUCCUCCCUCCUCCUCCUCUUUUCUCCUCCUCUCUCUUUGCCGCUUUCACAGCCUAGUUUUCUUUUUUUCUCAAUCUUGUGUGCAGGUUGUAUCUGACAGAGAGAGGACCACCGCCACGCUCCAGCCCCGCUCCAACCCACUGGUUCGUUAGUACCUGUGUCAGCAGUGAGUGAAUCACCCUGCUUUGGCCCGUCCGGCGUUACCUGUACAUGGAGACCCCCAGCUGGGCAGGAAACACAUUGUGUAAAUCAGGAAACAUUGCUGUCUUCGGGAACGUCGUGUACAGCGGGCUGCUCAACGAGCACCUCUGGCAUUUAGGAGUUCCCCUCUUCACAAGACUGGGUAACCAAGAGGCCACCAACCCCCAGAAGC
This is a long non-coding RNA of Coregonus clupeaformis (lake whitefish), 559 nucleotides long. RefSeq lists it as uncharacterized. Lineage: Eukaryota; Metazoa; Chordata; Actinopteri; Salmoniformes; Salmonidae. The transcript is spliced from 4 exons. The record is from RefSeq and is a predicted model, not a curated record.